This 552-nucleotide long non-coding RNA is filed under the name Homo sapiens (human). RNAcentral describes it as "non-protein coding SH3TC2-DT:49". The record is from RNAcentral. Lineage: Eukaryota; Metazoa; Chordata; Mammalia; Primates; Hominidae.
ACUUGGACCUAGCAGCAUCAAUGAGCCAGCUCCUCACUGGGGAACAUGCAAACCCCCAGCUGCUGGUGUGCAGGAAAAGAAUCCAGGAGAUCACCUGAUGAAGCCCAGCAUUUUACAGAGCAAAGUGGUGAAAGGACCCUGGUGAGAGGCCCAAAGAACAGGAGGUGUGAGCCAAGAGAAGGUCCUGCCAGGCCUAUGUUGCAGGCUAUUUGGAGGCUGAACUUGAGGAAGACAGAUGUCAGCUUUCUGAAGAAAGUGUCAAGCAUUUGUCCCUUACAAGGACUGGGAAGAAAGAGCAUACAUUUUCCCCGUUGCCUGCCCUUGACAUAUUUAUAACAUCCCAGGACUGGCACUGACCAUCCUCUCCCAAGUAACGGAAUGUCAAGAUGACUGCAGAGAUUAUGCUGUGAGUAGAAAAGCUUUAUAGUAAGCCGAGGUGAUCACCAGCCUCCCUGAGCUAAAAUAAUCACAGACUUUUUUUCUUAGUGACCCCUGUCCUACUCUCAGGCACCUUAUAUCCUCAAAUCUUAAAUAGAGUUAAGAGAUUGGGCA